Microcebus murinus (gray mouse lemur) is the source of this 891-nucleotide non-coding RNA. The record is from RefSeq and is a predicted model, not a curated record. NCBI's taxonomy places the organism in Eukaryota, Metazoa, Chordata, Mammalia, Primates, Cheirogaleidae.
UUCUCCUUGAGGAGCCAGUGUCCAGCUUGGCCAUGGAGGAAGAGGAGGGCUGCAGAUACAGGCAGAAGCCACGUCUCGAGGGACCUUAUUUCUUCCACUGAGAAAUCUGGACGUAGUUGAGAAGCAAGGGGCACCACUGAUGGCCUUUGAGGGAAGGGCAGGGCCAGGGCCCUGUCAGACACGCGUGUAGGGAAGUGGAAACUGUUUCAUGCUAUCUACCUUUUGGAAAAGAAACAUCGGCAAGCAUGGCAUUCACUCCAAUUGUGGCUGGAAGGAAGAAUGUGUGUCUCUGCCACAUACUGGCGCCCCCAGACCAGACCUGUGCCGCGCUCACAGCCACCAGCCACUGGCCACCACUGGGGACUUCUCGUGUAGCUGAGUCGAGCUGAGAUACGCGAGCGCCUGCCGGCACCAGCUGGACGCAACUGUCACAGCCGUUUGCUCUUGUGUGGGAGCCGUCUGCGCGUGCGAGCAACGCUGGAGCAGAGCAGCACUCGUGCGCCCCAAAAGGGCAGAAGCGGUGGCUGCUCCAAAAGACUCUGCGGGUGCCAGGACGUGUGCGCCGCUCCAAACUGACAGUGGAGACAGCGCCCAAGUCCAGGUGCUGUGAGGACUGAGGGGAUCGGACGGAGCCCAGAGCGUGCGCGGAGGGCUGAGGGCACGGCGGUGUCUCCCUGUUCCACGGCCAUGUCUGGAGAGAGCUCUCGGCUGAAGAGAGAGCAAAGCAACUAUUCCUCAGCUGUUCACAAAUUCUGUCUCCCUGCCAGUUUUUCCUUUUGCUUUUGUGAUGCUUGAUAUAUGCAAAUAAACCCUGAGCGUGCUUCCCCCGGGGAACACGCAUGCAAUCCGGCCACCUGGGGUAUGAUCGUAGAAAUAUAGAAAGUAUGACUA